AGCUUUGAUCCAUAGAUUUCCGAAUGGGGCAACCCAAUACAUAGAGAUAUGUAUUACCUUUAAUGGAGCGAACCUAGCGAAGUGAAACAUCUCAGUAGCUAGAGGAAAAGAAAUCAAUAGAGAUUCUCCUAGUAGCGGCGAGCGAACGGGGAAAAGGGCAAACCAGUAGCUUGCUACUGGGGUUGAGGACUGCAAUAUCCACUUGAAUAAUGUAGCAGAAGUGUUUGGAAAAACACAUCAUAGAGGGUGAUAGUCCCGUAUGCGAAAUAUUAUUCAUAGGUAGCAGGAUCCAGAGUAGGCCAGGACACGUGAAAUCCGGGCUGAAGCCGGGGAGACCACUCUCCAACCCUAAAUACUACUAUCACACCGAUAGCGAACAAGUACCGUGAGGGAAAGGUGAAAAGAACCGCAGUGAGCGGAGUGAAAUAGAACCUGAAACCAUCUGCCUACAAUCAUUCGGAGCCCUAUUGUGAGUCUCUUUGAGAGUUUUUGCUAAAUUCAGCUUUUGAGUGCUUUUGGCGGAGCUUGAAAAAAUCUUGUGCGACAGCCUUUAAGGCUAGUCUCCGCGAUUUUUUCUACGCAACCACCAAAAUCAUCUCAAAAUCUUAGAAUUUUCUGUUAUUCGCAUUUUGCUAGAUUCUGAACUGCAGACUGCGAAGUAUUUUGAGGCGAUUUUAAGGGUUGUGCAGGUUUUUGUGCGGAGACUAGACUUAAGUCUGUCGCACAAACAAAAACCAAACUCCCUUAAAAGCGUCCAAAAGACAAGCAGAUUUUAAACUUUUUAAAGAGGCUCACAAGGGUGACGGACUGCCUUUUGCAUAAUGAUCCUGCGAGUUGUGGUAUCUGGCAAGGUUAAGCACACGCGAAGCCGUAGCGAAAGCGAGUCUGAAAGGGCGUAGCCACCUCUNUUAUGUCUAUUGUGAUGAGAAUCUUGUAGCAAGAAACUCACAAGCACAAAUUAGUGUAAAAAUUAGUGCAAAGAUUAGCGAUUGUAGCGGUUGGGUGAAGUAUCUNUAAGUAAAUUUAUGGGUUGCGUAGAAUGGAGUGCGGAGAUAAGCCUUAAGGGCUAUCGCACAAGCGACAUUCAAGCUCCCUUAAAUUUACCAAAGAGACAAGCCCAACAUCACACAUAGAUAUAAAUGAGGUGGCUAAAGUCAGAUGCUGCAGACCCGAAGCCAAGUGAUCUAUCCAUGGCCAAGUUGAAGCGAGUGUAAUAGCUCGUGGAGGACUGAACUCGUACCCAUUGAAACGGGUUGGGAUGAGCUGUGGAUAGGGGUGAAAGGCCAAACAAACUUGGUGAUAGCUGGUUCUCUUCGAAAUAUAUUUAGGUAUAGCCUCAAGUGAUAGUAAUAGGGGGUAGAGCUCUGAUUGGGCUAGGGCUGCUCACCGCGGUACCAACCCCUGUCAAACUGCAAAUACCUAUUACCGUAUCUUGGGAGUCAGGCGGUGGGUGAUAAAAUCAAUCGUCAAAAGGGGAACAACCCAGACUACCAACUAAGGUCCCAAAGUUCUAUUCUAAGUGGAAAAUGAUGUGAAGUUACUCAGACAACCAGGAGGUUGGCUUAGAAGCAGCCAUCCUUUAAAGAAAGCGUAACAGCUCACUGGUCUAGUGAUUUUGCGCAGAAAAUAUAACGGGGCUAAGAUAGACACCGAAGUUGUAGAUUGUGCUGAUGCACAGUGGUAGAAGAGCGUUCGUAUCAGCGUUGAAGGCAUACCGGUAAGGAGUGCUGGAGCGAUGCGAAGUGAGCAUGCAGGAAUGAGUAGCGAUAAAAGUGGUGAGAAUCCACUUCGCCGAAAGUCUAAGGUUUCCUACGCGAUGCUCGUCAUCGUAGGGUUAGUCGGGUCCUAAGACAAGUCAGAAAUGGGUAGUCGAUGGAAAAUGGGUUAAUAUUCCCAUACCAACAUUAGUGUGCGAUGGGGGGACGCAUAGGGCUAAGUAGCGUUAGCUGAUGGAAGUGCUAAUUUAAAAGCGUAGAUUGAGAGAUAGGUAAAUCCGCUCUUGUAUUCGAAACUUGAAUAGCUUGUUGCGAUCUUCGGAUCAAGAUGAGUGCUACUGACGCCGUCGUGCCAAGAAAAGCCUCUAAGUUUAGCUAAUGUUGCCCGUACCGCAAACCGACACAGGUAGAUGAGAUGAGUAUUCUAAGGCGCGUGAAAGAACUCUGGUUAAGGAACUCUGCAAACUAGCACCGUAAGUUCGCGAUAAGGUGUGCCUAAGCAAUUAGGUCUCAGCAAAGAGUCCCUCCCGACUGUUUACCAAAAACACAGCACUUUGCAAACUCGUAAGAGGAAGUAUAAGGUGUGACGCCUGCCCGGUGCUCGAAGGUUAAGAGGAUUCGUUAGCGUGUGCGCGAAGCGUUGAAUUGAAGCCCGAGUAAACGGCGGCCGUAACUAUAACGGUCCUAAGGUAGCGAAAUUCCUUGUCGGUUAAAUACCGACCUGCAUGAAUGGCGUAACGAGAUGGGAGCUGUCUCAACCAGGGAUUCAGUGAAAUUGUAGUGGAGGUGAAAAUUCCUCCUACCCGCGGCAAGACGGAAAGACCCCGUGGACCUUUACUACAGCUUGGCACUGCCGAUGGGAGCAUUAUGCGCAGGAUAGGUGGGAGGCUUUGAAAUCUUCACUCUGGUGGAGAUGGAGCCAUCCUUGAGAUACCACCCUUAAUGUUUCUGUCUGCUAACUGGCUAGAGUUAUCCUCUAGCAGGACAAUGCCUGGUGGGUAGUUUGACUGGGGCGGUCGCCUCCUAAAAAGUAACGGAGGCUUGCAAAGGUUGGCUCAUUGCGGUUGGAAAUCGCAAGUAGAGUGUAAUGGCAUAAGCCAGCCUGACUGUAAGACAAACAAGUCGAGCAGAGACGAAAGUCGGUCAUAGUGAUCCGGUGAUUCUGUGUGGAAGGGUCAUCGCUCAAAGGAUAAAAGGUACCCCGGGGAUAACAGGCUGAUCUCCCCCAAGAGCUCACAUCGACGGGGAGGUUUGGCACCUCGAUGUCGGCUCAUCGCAUCCUGGGGCUGGAGCAGGUCCCAAGGGUAUGGCUGUUCGCCAUUUAAAGCGGUACGCGAGCUGGGUUCAGAACGUCGUGAGACAGUUCGGUCCCUAUCUGCCGUGGGCGUAGGAAAGUUGAGGAGAGCUGUCCCUAGUACGAGAGGACCGGGAUGGACACGCCACUGGUGUAAGAGUUGUUCUGCCAAGAGCAUCGCUCUGUAGCUACGCGUGGAUGUGAUAACCGCUGAAAGCAUCUAAGA
RNAcentral lists this ribosomal RNA (3235 nucleotides) under Helicobacter canicola. Its description in RNAcentral is "bacterial LSU rRNA". It matches the Rfam family "Bacterial large subunit ribosomal RNA". Lineage: Bacteria; Pseudomonadati; Campylobacterota; Epsilonproteobacteria; Campylobacterales; Helicobacteraceae. The record is from RNAcentral.